RNAcentral lists this ribosomal RNA (464 nucleotides) under uncultured bacterium. RNAcentral's name for it is "partial 16S ribosomal RNA". It matches the Rfam family "Bacterial small subunit ribosomal RNA", at positions 339 to 795 of the family's 1533-position model. The record is from RNAcentral.
CUACGGGGGGCAGCAGUGGGGAAUAUUGGACAAGGGGGGAAACCCUGAUCCAGCAAUGCCGCGUGUGUGAAGAAGGCCUGCGGGUUGUAAAGCACUUUCGGUUGGGAGGACUGCUUCUAGCACUAAUAUUGUUGGAAGUUGACGUUACCUUCAGAAGAAGCACCGGCUAACUCCGUGCCAGCAGCCGCGGUAAUACGGGGGUGCAAGCGUUAAUCGGAAUUACUGGGCGUAAAGCGCGCGUAGGCGGCUAGAUCAGUCGGGUGUGAAAGCCCCGGGCUUAACCUGGGAACUGCAUCCGAUACUGUCUAGCUUGAGUACAGGAGAGGAGAGUGGAAUUCCACAUGUAGCGGUGAAAUGCGUAGAUAUGUGGAGGAACACCAAUGGCGAAGGCAGCUCUCUGGCCUGAUACUGACGCUGAGGUGCGAAAGCGUGGGGAGCAAACAGGAUUAGAUACCCCGGUAGUC